GACGAACGCUGGCGGCGUGCUUAACACAUGCAAGUCGAACGGAAAGGCCCUGCUUGCAGGGUACUCGAGUGGCGAACGGGUGAGUAACACGUGGGUGAUCUGCCCUGCACUUCGGGAUAAGCCUGGGAAACUGGGUCUAAUACCGGAUAGGAGCCAUUUUGAGUGUGAUGGUUGGAAAGUUUUUUCGGUGUAGGAUGAGCUCGCGGCCUAUCAGCUUGUUGGUGGGGUUAUGGCCUACCAAGGCGGCGACGGGUAGCCGGCCUGCGAGGGUGGACGGCCACAUUGGGACUGAGAUACGGCCCAGACUCCUACGGGAGGCAGCAGUGGGGAAUAUUGCACAAUGGGCGCAAGCCUGAUGCAGCGACGCCGCGUGGGGGAUGACGGCCUUCGGGUUGUAAACUCCUUUCGCUAGGGACGAAGCUUUUUGUGACGGUACCUAGAUAAGAAGCACCGGCUAACUACGUG
RNAcentral lists this ribosomal RNA (465 nucleotides) under uncultured bacterium. RNAcentral describes it as "partial 16S ribosomal RNA". It matches the Rfam family "Bacterial small subunit ribosomal RNA", at positions 28 to 507 of the family's 1533-position model. The record is from RNAcentral.